AUUGAACGCUGGCGGCAUGCUUUACACAUGCAAGUCGAACGGUAACAGGCCGCAAGGUGCUGACGAGUGGCGAACGGGUGAGUAAUGCAUCGGAACGUGCCCAGUCGUGGGGGAUAACUACUUGAAAGAGUAGCUAAUACCGCAUACGAUCUAUGGAUGAAAGCGGGGGACCGUAAGGCCUCGCGCGAUUGGAGCGGCCGAUGUCAGAUUAGGUAGUUGGUGGGGUAAAGGCUCACCAAGCCAACGAUCUGUAGCUGGUCUGAGAGGACGACCAGCCACACUGGGACUGAGACACGGCCCAGACUCCUACGGGAGGCAGCAGUGGGGAAUUUUGGACAAUGGGCGCAAGCCUGAUCCAGCAAUGCCGCGUGCAGGAAGAAGGCCUUCGGGUUGUAAACUGCUUUUGUACGGAACGAAACGGCUCUGGUUAAUACCCGGGGCUAAUGACGGUACCGUAAGAAUAAGCACCGGCUAACUACGUG
This 482-nucleotide ribosomal RNA is filed under the name uncultured bacterium. RNAcentral's name for it is "partial 16S ribosomal RNA". It matches the Rfam family "Bacterial small subunit ribosomal RNA", at positions 30 to 507 of the family's 1533-position model. The record is from RNAcentral.